This 499-nucleotide ribosomal RNA is filed under the name uncultured bacterium. RNAcentral's name for it is "partial 16S ribosomal RNA". It matches the Rfam family "Bacterial small subunit ribosomal RNA", at positions 28 to 507 of the family's 1533-position model. The record is from RNAcentral.
GACGAACGCUGGCGGCGUGCCUAAUACAUGCCAGUCGAGCGGACUGAAUGGGAGCUUGCUCUUGUUCGGUCAGCGGCGGACGGGUGAGUAACACGUGGGCAACCUGCCCGCAAGACCGGGAUAACUCCGGGAAACCGGAGCUAAUACCGGAUAACACCGAAGACCGCAUGGUCUUUGGUUGAAAGGCGGCGCAAGCUGCCACUUGCGGAUGGGCCCGCGGCGCAUUAGCUAGUUGGUGAGGUAACGGCUCACCAAGGCGACGGUGCGGAGCCGGCCUGAGAGGGUGACCGGCCACACUGGGACUGAGACACGGCCCAGACUCCUACGGGAGGCAGCAGUAGGGAAUCUUCCGGAAUGGGCGAAAGCCUGACGGAGCGACGCCGCGUGAGCGAAGAAGGCCUUCGGGUCGUAAAGCUCUGUUGUGAGGGACGAAGGAGCGCCGUUUGAAGAAGGCGGCGCGGUGACGGUACCUCACGAGGAAGCCCCGGCUAACUACGUG